GUGAGGAAUAUUGCGCAAUGGAGGCAACUCUGACGCAGCCAUGCCGCGUGCAGGAAGAAGGCGCUACGCGUUGUAAACUGCUUUUAACCGGGAAGAAACCCCAGGACGUGUCCUGGGUUGACGGUACCGGAGGAAUAAGCACCGGCUAACUUCGUGCCAGCAGCCGCGGUAAUACGAAGGGUGCAAGCGUUAUCCGGAUUCAUUGGGUUUAAAGGGUGCGUAGGCGGAGCGUUAAGUCAGUGGUGAAAUCCUGCAGCUUAACUGUAGACUUGCCAUUGAUACUGGCGCUCUUGAGUGCGCUGAAAGUGUGCGGAAUGUGCCGUGUAGCGGUGAAAUGCUUAGAUAUGGCACAGAACACCAAUUGCGAAGGCAGCUCACUAAGGCGAUACUGACGCUGAGGCACGAAAGCGUGGGGAUCGAACAGGAUUAGAUACCCCGGUAGUCC
Molecule: ribosomal RNA, 445 nt
Filed under: uncultured bacterium
Lineage: Bacteria
Description: partial 16S ribosomal RNA
Rfam family: Bacterial small subunit ribosomal RNA
Source: RNAcentral